UUAAAUUGAAGAGUUUGAUCAUGGCUCAGAUUGAACGCUGGCGGCAGGCCUAACACAUGCAAGUCGAACGGUAACAGGAAGAAGCUUGCUUCUUUGCUGACGAGUGGCGGACGGGUGAGUAAUGUCUGGGAAACUGCCUGAUGGAGGGGGAU
This 152-nucleotide ribosomal RNA is filed under the name Escherichia coli. RNAcentral's name for it is "partial 16S ribosomal RNA". It matches the Rfam family "Bacterial small subunit ribosomal RNA", at positions 1 to 144 of the family's 1533-position model. The record is from RNAcentral. Lineage: Bacteria; Pseudomonadati; Pseudomonadota; Gammaproteobacteria; Enterobacterales; Enterobacteriaceae.